This 403-nucleotide ribosomal RNA is filed under the name uncultured bacterium. RNAcentral's name for it is "partial 16S ribosomal RNA". It matches the Rfam family "Bacterial small subunit ribosomal RNA", at positions 30 to 526 of the family's 1533-position model. The record is from RNAcentral.
AUUGAACGCUGGCGGCAGGCCUAACACAUGCAAGUCGAGCGAGCGGCGGACGGGUGAGUAAUGUAUGGGGACUGCCCGAUAGAGGGGGAUAACUACUGGAAACGGUAGCUAAUACCGCAUACUAUCGGAUAACCCAUAUGGGAUUAGCUAGUAGGUGAGGUAAUGGCUCACCUAGGCGACGAUCCCUAGCUGUUCUGAGAGGAUGAGCAGACACACGGGGACGUAGAAACGGCCCAGACUCCUACGGAGGCAGAAGUGGGGAAUAUUGCACAAGGGGCGCAAGCCUGAUGCAGACAUGCGGCGUGUAUGAAGAAGGCCUUAGGGUUGUAAAGUAUUUUCAGUCGGGAGGCGUUACCGACAGAAGAAGCACCGGCUAACUCCGGGCCAGAAGCCGCGGUAAUAC